AGAGUUUGAUCCUGGCUCAGAGCGAACGCUGGCGGCAGGCUUAACACAUGCAAGUCGAACGCCCGUAGCAAUACGGGAGUGGCAGACGGGAGAGUAACACGUGGGAACGUGCCCUUCAGUUCGGAACAACCCAGGGAAACUUGGGCUAAUACCGGAUACGUCCGAAAGGAGAAAGAUUUAUCGCUGAAGGGUCGGCCCGCGUCUGAUUAGCUAGUUGGUGAGGUAACGGCUCACCAAGGCGACGAUCAGUAGCUGGUCUGAGAGGAUGAUCAGCCUCAUUGGGACUGAGACACGGCCCAAACUCCUACGGGAGGCAGCAGUGGGGAAUCUUGGACAAUGGGCGCAAGCCUGAUCCAGCCAUGCCGCGUGGGUGAUGAAGGCCCUAGGGUUGUAAAGCCCUUUCGGCGGGGAAGAUAAUGACGGUACCCGCAGAAGAAGCCCCGGCUAACUUCGUGCCAGCAGCCGCGGUAAUACGAAGGGGGCUAGCGUUGCUCGGAAUCACUGGGCGUAAAGCGCACGUAGGCGGCUCUUUAAGUCAGGGGUGAAAUCCUGGAGCUCAACUCCAGAACUGCCUUUGAUACUGAGGAGCUUGAGUUCGGGAGAGGUGAGUGGAACUGCGAGUGUAGAGGUGAAAUUCGUAGAUAUUCGCAAGAACACCAGUGGCGAAGGCGGCUCACUGGCCCGAUACUGACGCUGAGGUGCGAAAGCGUGGGGAGCAAACAGGAUUAGAUACCCCCGUAGUCC
Molecule: ribosomal RNA, 744 nt
Filed under: uncultured bacterium
Lineage: Bacteria
Description: bacterial SSU rRNA
Rfam family: Bacterial small subunit ribosomal RNA
Source: RNAcentral